CCAAACUUGGUCAUUUAGAGGAAGUAAAAGUCGUAACAAGGUUUCCGUAGGUGAACCUGCGGAAGGAUCAUUACAAAAUAUUGUAAAACCUUCGCAUCGAAAGGUGCGAAACCACUCUGUGUGAAUUGUACACAUGUAUACAUUGGCAGGUUUUUUCUGAGCUGGUAUUCACUUACAAGCUCAUCUCUUUCGAGAGAGACCUGCCAAAGUCUACCUCUUAAUAAACCUUUUUUAUAUGAUAUAUUUUAUACUACAUAUAUAAAAAUAUAAUACAACUUUCAGCAACGGAUCUCUUGGCUCUCGCAUCGAUGAAGAACGCAGC
RNAcentral lists this unclassified non-coding RNA (322 nucleotides) under uncultured fungus. RNAcentral describes it as "partial contains small subunit ribosomal RNA, internal transcribed spacer 1, and 5.8S ribosomal RNA". The stretch from base 1 to 73 matches the Rfam family "Eukaryotic small subunit ribosomal RNA", at positions 1759 to 1831 of the family's 1831-position model. The record is from RNAcentral. Lineage: Eukaryota; Fungi.